UGCAGAAAGGGGAUACAGAGAGGACUGCAGCCCAGCAGUGCCAGAAGGACUGAGCCCAGCAGUGCUGCAGCAGCUUUGCUGCUUGUGGGCCAGGAAGAAGAUACCUGGAAGAAUGGUUGGCUGAUCUCCUCCAGCAGGCUUUAAACUAGGUUCGUUAGGGGAAGGGGAGGACAAGGACAGAGGGAUCCAUGGAACACCAAACCAUGAGAUACCGACAGGAACAGCCCAGAAAGCAGUUAAAAGAAAUAGAAGAUUAGAUUUUGGAAAUAUUAUCAUUGUCACAGGGAAACAUCCUGGAGGACGAAUGAGCUAUUGACAUUCUCUCCUCAAGCAAGAAGCUGUCCCAGGAGAUCCAUGAGAAACAAGAAAUAACAACAAAGACUGAAAAACAAAUUGAUGAAACCAGAGAUGGCUACAGACCUGUAAAUAGCUUUUCACACUGUCGCAGUUACAGUUUGAAUUGAAUAGUUUAAAUUUGCAAAUUGAUGGAGAAAUGCACAUAUUUCUUUUUUAAGAAAUCCUAGUGAAGAACAGAUUUUAUAUUAGAUCUAAUUUAAAUAUCAAUGCAUAUGCUUACACUUAGUAAAAUAUCCAAAAUUAUGUGUACAAGCAUCUUAAGGAGUGCUGAUCAGAUAGAGCAUGGCAUAAUUUAAAUUAUCGCUUUUAACAUUUCAAUUGGCAGUGAUUGUUUCAGUUUUCACAAGUUUGGUUUUUAUUAUAUUUUACUGGAUUAGGCUGCAAACCAUUCAAGCAUCUUGUUCUUUGUCAUCACUAACCUGAUUUAGGUUAAUUCUGUAUAUCAAUACUCCUUAGCUUUGGUUUGCAUCAGUUUUAUCAACAGCAGAGAGCCUCUAAUUUAUUAUAUUAGAAGAUCAGCAAACUUAAUAAUAUAUAACUAUAGGUAGAUUUAAACAUACCCAAUAUGAUUGCAAAUUUGGAAACAAUGAAACUAUUGGCCUCUUUCCACUAGUGUAAUGCAACUAUGUAAUAGUAAUUAUUAAUAAAAGGCUAAUAUAAAUAAAUAUAAUAUGAA
Gavialis gangeticus (Gharial) is the source of this 1033-nucleotide long non-coding RNA. RefSeq lists it as uncharacterized. The record is from RefSeq and is a predicted model, not a curated record. The transcript is spliced from 3 exons. Lineage: Eukaryota; Metazoa; Chordata; Crocodylia; Gavialidae.